Molecule: ribosomal RNA, 253 nt
Filed under: uncultured bacterium
Lineage: Bacteria
Description: partial 16S ribosomal RNA
Rfam family: Bacterial small subunit ribosomal RNA
Source: RNAcentral
UACAGAGGGGGCAAGCGUUGUUCGGAAUUACUGGGCGUAAAGGGCGCGUAGGCGGCCUUCUAAGUCGAACGUGAAAUCCCCGGGCUCAACCCGGGAACUGCGUCCGAUACUGGAAGGCUUGAAUCCGGGAGAGGGAUGUGGAAUUCCAGGUGUAGCGGUGAAAUGCGUAGAUAUCGUAAGGAAGACCAGUGGCGAAGGCGGGUCUCUGGACAGUUCCUGACGCUGAGGCACGAAGGCCAGGGGAGCAAACGGG